Molecule: ribosomal RNA, 536 nt
Filed under: Hemilepidotus jordani (yellow Irish lord)
Lineage: Eukaryota; Metazoa; Chordata; Actinopteri; Perciformes; Cottidae
Description: partial 16S ribosomal RNA
Rfam family: Bacterial large subunit ribosomal RNA
Source: RNAcentral
GCCUAACAGCUAGCCCACCCAAGCAAUUUCAACAAACCCCUAUUAAUAACCCCUAAGUACCCCAGUAUUUAAAUUAAACAAACCAUUUUCCCCCCUUAGUACAGGCGAUAGAAAGGGGCCUACGGCGCGAUAGAGAAAGUACCGCAAGGGAAUGCUGAAAAAGAAGUGAAAUAACCCAGUAAAGCCUAGAAAAGCAGAGAUUCAACCUCGUACCUUUUGCAUCAUGAUUUAGCAAGUGUACCCCAAGCAAAGAGAACUUUAGUUUGGUGUCCCGAAACUACGUGAGCUACUCCAAGACAGCCUAUUAAUAGGGCACACCCGUCUCUGUGGCAAAAGAGUGGGGAGAGCUUUGAGUAGAGGUGACAAACCUACCGAACCUAGUUAUAGCUGGUUGUCCAAGAAAUGAAUAGAAGUUCAGCCUCUUGGCUUCUCUUUUCACCCUAGUUUAACCUCUAUCGAUGCAUUAAAGAAACCAAGGGAGUUAGUCAAAGGGGGUACAGCCCCUUUGAAUCAAGACACAACUUUACCAGGAGGGU